Podarcis lilfordi (Lilford's wall lizard) is the source of this 77-nucleotide non-coding RNA. Lineage: Eukaryota; Metazoa; Chordata; Lepidosauria; Squamata; Lacertidae. The record is from the annotation of a GenBank genome assembly.
GGAGAGAAAUGUCUGUUCAGUGGUAGAACCUAUGCCUUGUAUGCAGAAUGUCCCAGGUCCAAUCCUUGCCAUCUCCA